GUGCCUAAUACAUGCAAGUCGAACGGCAGCACGGGUGCUUGCACCUGGUGGCGAGUGGCGAACGGGUGAGUAAUACAUCGGAACAUGUCCUGUAGUGGGGGAUAGCCCGGCGAAAGCCGGAUUAAUACCGCAUACGAUCCACGGAUGAAAGCGGGGGACCUUCGGGCCUCGCGCUAUAGGGUUGGCCGAUGGCUGAUUAGCUAGUUGGUGGGGUAAAGGCCUACCAAGGCGACGAUCAGUAGCUGGUCUGAGAGGACGACCAGCCACACUGGGACUGAGACACGGCCCAGACUCCUACGGGAGGCAGCAGUGGGGAAUUUUGGACAAUGGGCGAAAGCCUGAUCCAGCAAUGCCGCGUGUGUGAAGAAGGCCUUCGGGUUGUAAAGCACUUUUGUCCGGAAAGAAAUCCUUGGCUCUAAUACAGUCGGGGGAUGACGGUACCGGAAGAAUAAGCACCGGCUAACUACGUGCCAGCAGCCGCGGUAAUACGUAGGGUGCAAGCGUUAAUCGGAAUUACUGGGCGUAAAGCGCACGCAGGCGGUCUGUC
Molecule: ribosomal RNA, 547 nt
Filed under: Klebsiella pneumoniae
Lineage: Bacteria; Pseudomonadati; Pseudomonadota; Gammaproteobacteria; Enterobacterales; Enterobacteriaceae
Description: bacterial SSU rRNA
Rfam family: Bacterial small subunit ribosomal RNA
Source: RNAcentral